This 490-nucleotide ribosomal RNA is filed under the name uncultured bacterium. RNAcentral describes it as "partial 16S ribosomal RNA". It matches the Rfam family "Bacterial small subunit ribosomal RNA", at positions 30 to 507 of the family's 1533-position model. The record is from RNAcentral.
AUUGAACGCUGGCGGCAGGCCUAACACAUGCAAGUCGAACGGUAACAGGAAGAAGCUUGCUUCUUUGCUGACGAGUGGCGGACGGGUGAGUAAUGUCUGGGAAACUGCCUGAUGGAGGGGGAUAACUACUGGAAACGGUAGCUAAUACCGCAUAACGUCGCAAGACCAAAGAGGGGGACCUUCGGGCCUCUUGCCAUCGGAUGCGCCCAGAUGGGAUUAGCUAGUAGGUGGGGUAACGGCUCACCUAGGCGACGAUCCCUAGCUGGUCUGAGAGGAUGACCAGCCACACUGGAACUGAGACACGGUCCAGACUCCUACGGGAGGCAGCAGUGGGGAAUAUUGCACAAUGGGCGCAAGCCUGAUGCAGCCAUGCCGCGUGUAUGAAGAAGGCCUUCGGGUUGUAAAGUACUUUCAGCGGGGAGGAAGGGAGUAAAGUUAAUACCUUUGCUCAUUGACGUUACCCGCAGAAGAAGCACCGGCUAACUCCGUG